This 723-nucleotide small RNA is filed under the name Malus domestica (apple). RNAcentral describes it as "sRNA MD10G0135100". The record is from RNAcentral. Lineage: Eukaryota; Viridiplantae; Streptophyta; Magnoliopsida; Rosales; Rosaceae.
AUGCGGGUACCCGAUUAAAAAACCCAGCCCACCAACUUUCACACUAUAAAACACUGCCAUACCGCAGUCUAACCGAAGGUUGCGGAAGCCAAACGACUCAGAGAGGAAAUUAGGGUUAGGGUUUUUUCUAUCGUCAGUGCAUAAUCAGCUAAGCAGAGUAAUCGCGACAAUGAUUUACGACGUCAACUCACCACUCUUCCGAUCCUUCCUCAGCCAGAAGGGCGGCUCCUCCGACAAGAGGAAGUUGGAAGAGCAGAAGCCCAAGGAGAAUCGACCAAAGGCCAGUGAGAAUAAGCCUGUUAUGAAUGAGUGACAACAGAUUGAUAUAUUAAGCUAUGGUUUGGUUUAGGAUCCUUUGUGAUGUUAAGUAGAUGAGUACUAUGUGUUUAAGACAAGCUUAUCGCUAUGUAUUGGCUUUUCAGUAACUUCGUGAGCUACGAUUUACCGUCCUAAUGUACUUUUGACCGUCGGAAUUAUAAUUUACACUUGUUUGUUUUGAAAUGAUGUUGUCGAGCCUUAUGUUGACUGCCUUGUCCUGCAUUUGUGCUUUUGUUAUCUUGGUUGAGAAUGUAACUGGAUUUAUAAAGGAUGUAGGUCUUAACUACAUCGGUUGUUGUGGUAUCUCAAACCAAUAAUGUGAUUGAUUUGAAAUACUGCCACAAUGGUGUACACCAUUGGUUUGAGAACAUACGUUUAUAAGAAUCGAAUGGUGUAUGUUUAUUU